Molecule: long non-coding RNA, 1177 nt
Filed under: Marmota monax (woodchuck)
Lineage: Eukaryota; Metazoa; Chordata; Mammalia; Rodentia; Sciuridae
Source: RNAcentral
UAGCAUUUACCAGGAAAGCCAUACACAAUGGGGAUAAGUCAUCGCUGGUCUUACGAGAUGGUGGCUUAACCAGCUUUUCUGGGUUUGCACAAGAUGGCGGAGAAUUUCUGUGAGGAGAGGGGUGACAAUAUGGCAGAGGCUGCUCCCCAUCCCGACUAUCUACCAUGUGUUCCGGGACAGGAGCACUUGGUGCGGAACUCAGAGGAACAGGCUAAGGAUCAAAAGGGUCUAGGAGGCCAUUGUCAGAGUGAGGCUUUAAGCCUUUCUACUCCUGGGCAGCAAGAGGACUCCCUUGCCGUGACCCAAGUCACUCCUCAACAAGGGUUUCCCAAGCUGGGUCACCCUUUGAGGUAGGAGGAGUAGGUGUCUUAAAAGGGUCUUUGCCGCCCCUAGAUGUUCCUUCUGAGGGGCCAGGGGAGAAACAGGCUUUGAGGGCAGAUAGGAUUGGGUAGACCCCCAGAGGGGGGUCCUCUCCCAGGUUAAUCUCCCUCUUCCUCACCAAUUGUUCUGCGCGGUCCCAGGUGACCUAAUCAAAAAGAUUGGCAGCCACCAACCAGGGCGCAGCGCGUGUCAAGGUUUCUCAGACCUUUUCGGCCUGGGCAUCCGAGAGCUCUAAACCUCGGCUUUUAAGCAUGAAUCUCAAUGCUUUAAGAGCUGGAGCAUCAUGCUCAGUGUGAGAUUGCCCCAUCUCUUCAGGGAGACCCUUACCUCAGAACUCGCUUGGCUUGGCUCGUGAAUACUUUCACUUUUGGUGAACCGACUUCUUCGUGUCCCUGUUCAGGCGCCAGAUGUCAGGGGUUUUAGUCCUCAUUCCCUCUCGACCUGCAGGAGAGAGAGGGAGAGCGCGCCCCGGAUGAGCCAAGAAAGGAGAGGGCCGACUGACCGCCCGCACCCAGCCCUCCCUCGCCGGAGGACAAUCAGACGCAUCAGGGAGACCAUUCAAGGCAGGAGCCCAUUUAUCGAGGAAGUACACACAGCUAAUAUAGAGUACAGAAGCCAACCGGAACAAAGGGCGGUUGGGCGGGAAGGGCUCACGCGUGCCCAUUCCAUGGGCUGUAAGGGAAAGCAUGAACUGUCCACGAGGGCAGAAGAGUCCUGGGCCUAUCCUAGAGGUGGUACCAUUUUUCGUCACAACCCACAGCACCGCCUUCUGGCUAAUUGCCAGGCGCCAUCUUAG